AAGAAAACACACCUACACUGGCAAUCGAGUGAGACUUCUAUUGAGCUCAGUAACUUACGGAAAAGCAUGGAUAUGUGGCACCAGAACACCGUGAAGGCUUAAAACUGAAGCUGCCUGUUAGCCCAAGGCUGAAGAUUUUUCAAGUUAAUAUUUAAAGGCCCAAGAGUAUUGCAUCCCAAGUGCAUUUUUGAGCUUCUGAUGCCCUGUAUUCCAUUUCAAUCUUGACGGUUAGGAGAGAGAAAUCUGGGGCCUGAGGGCUUUCUGAAACGGAACAAGCUGAGAGUGUGCAGCAUCUCUUCCUCUGGAGUACUGGAUGUGCCAGGAGCAUCAUCCUAUUACUAAUAAGUCGAAAUAGACAGCAGGAAAUGCAGGUCCCUCCCUAGCAGUGCCAGAAUGCAUCUCUGUGUGUAUCCAGCAAUCUGGGUGAUAUGUUGACAGAAUGAGGCCAGCGAUGCAAAUAAAGGAAUUUUUUUCCCUCUCUCCUUGCAGUA
RNAcentral lists this long non-coding RNA (491 nucleotides) under Gallus gallus (chicken). Lineage: Eukaryota; Metazoa; Chordata; Aves; Galliformes; Phasianidae. The record is from RNAcentral.